UUUCAUGGCGACCAGGACGCUCUGGAUGCCCCAUAGUGAGCUAAGCCGAGGGAGGCUGCGUACGCCCGCCUCUCCGCUCCCGGCUCAACACCUCUCCUUCCUCUUCCGGUCCUCGCGGCAAUUCGGUUGCCUAGUGAGAGGCGAGGGUUUGGUAACUCGGGGAGGGUGUACAGGUGGGGCCAAGGAUGGGCGUGGCGCCCGGGGGCGCGGCCUGCGGAGUCCGGGAGCGCUGGGACUGUAGCUGGGUGGGAUCUCCGGGCAGCGGUGUGGGAGCGGACCAGUCUCAACCCGGGCCUCAUUAUUAUUAGGUGUGGUAGCCUAUACGUGCUGGCUUCUUGGCUUUCGUCCCGAAAAGGUGCGCACGACCGACGCAGGGCGCCCCUUGGGUUUCCAGUGGCUUGAGAAGAGCGCUUGGAAUCGUAUGUUUCGGCUCCAGCUUUUACUUUUGCAGUUUGUUUUGUGGCCGGCUUGAUGUGGGCCUCUGGAGGGUGAGCAGUAACGUGCUAAUAAUAGGCCUUUUGAGCUCUUUCUGUGUGCCUGGUACUGUACUAAACACAACGUUUCUUAUUUUAAUUCUCACACUAUCCCUGUAAGGUAGCUACAGUUAGUAAAGUGUCGAGGUUAGAGGACUAGGGAGUGUAGAGAUACAACUCCAAUCUGGACACUGAAUCACGAUGUUUUAAAGCCACCAAUCUUUUUAAAAUUUUAUUUACUAGAUAGCAACAUUUUGAUUAUACUCAAGAGACAUCAGGUUGCAGUCUAUAGAAGGAAACGAAAUUAAGUCCCAGGGACAAACAAUUUAACCAUUGUCCAGAAAUAAAAGAUUAGUAACUAAAAGGGAGACUUAUGUAGAAUCAGUAUAGUCUCCUAAGGCUCUGCUCCCAUCAAGGAAAAACGUAGUUCCAAACCAUUAAGCCUGGAUUCUUAACGUGACGUUCCCGGAAUCAGUUUUCACGAAUUCUGAAGGGAGCCUGUGAAAAAAGUAAUCCUGAUCCGGUAGCCCUCCUUGAAUUUAAAACUGCCCCAUCACCAUUUAGAAUUAAUGUGUUUUUCCUUUUUGAAGUAGGUUUGCAAUUGUCUGCCUAAACAGCUCGUCUUUAGAGCUGCCCUUAUUUGUUUUGCCUGCUCCACCACCACCACGCUAGGGUCAUAUAAUAUGCAGGAUGUCUAGAAGUCAACAGCUGUUCAGAUCUGAAGGUCUGUGGGAGCCCGCCUACCGAUGAGGUUGUUUGUCAGCAGCGCUAAAGGAUUUGGAGGGCAAGCAGUAGAAUUAUUGCAGCUCCUGAUCAAAUCAGAUUCUAAGGACAACCGUCCCAAAGAAUCAGGAGUGUCUGGAAUGUCCAGACAGUCUCCCUGGGAAGGAGGAAGGGUUCUGUUUGUGCCCUCUCUGAACUGGCCCUUGAGGUUUCCUUUAGGAGGUGACGGCCGAUUUUCACCUUCUGUAGAGGGACCCCAUGUAGCACUAAGCCACCUCCGUUUCCAAGCACAGUUAGCUGGCAGAGAGAAAGCUGUUUGAGGCGACUGUCCCACGUGGUCGUCUGGAUCUAUAGCAACACCUGGAAUAGAACCUUGACCUCUAGAGUAGUGGUUCCUUUUGCUGUCUUUGCCAUCGAUUUCUUUCUUUCCCUUUAAUGGGUGACCCACUUCUUUUCUAAAUAUUUUGCGACUGUCUUCAUUAUUACAUGAGCUGAUGUGUUGAAGGUGACUACAGGUUGCGCUAAGUGUGCACAUCUCAUUAGAAAGUACAGUUUCUUGCCCAUCCAAAAUGCAUUUCUCAUCAUUUCCAUUGUGAUGGUCAGGAUCUGCCUGAAAUGCAGGUGAAUUUAAACUAGGGCACACUGCUGUGUGUGUUUGCUUUUCCAUCAACAAAUAAUAAUCAGGCGCAGGAGAGAGUCUCUUCAGUGAAUUUGCAGAUGUGCUCUGAUAUUUGGCAAGAUUUUGUUUUGACUUGUUCACAAAGAAUUCAUUGUGCUCAUCCUUCAGUUUAUAUCGUCCCCAAAGCCCUCUUUUAAUCUUUUUAAAACCUAGGUGGAAAAUUUCUAGAAUAUUUAAGAAAAGUGAAACAGUGGCUAUAGACUGCAUAAAUAACAGGAAUAUUGUCUUUUCUGUUGGUCUUGAGACAAAACAAUCAAUUAUAUUUGGACAUGGGUGGCUGUGGCAUUUAAAUAAAGGCUCUAAAUGAAAUCCAUACAAAAGGUACUGUCCAAUCAUGAACCCAACCUCUACCACAGAGCGAGUGAAAAUGUGUAUCACAUAAGUGCAAAGCAAGGUCCCCCUGAGUGGGGCUUUGCUUAGUUUCCUUUGUUCCAACUGACAAAGUUCUUGCUCCAGUCUCCUCCUGUCCCAGGGCAUUUCACACUCCACCCCCUUCAGUGCCCCUCUCAGCUGAGCUUUCUUCCUCUGCCUCUCUUUCUCCAGAACUUUCAGUCGGUACAAAGCAUGGCCCAUAUAGACCAGGGAUGGUGAAGACACAAAUAUCACCUGCAAGAUCCAGUAUCUAAUGAGGGAGAUGGGAAAGGCCUGGUCAUAGCAUACAUUUCUGCAGCCGGGUUGUUCUGUAUUACAGAUGAAGCCAGACUGCUCGUCGUUCCAGACAUCUUCAGCUGCUACACCCAGAACAAGCAUUCGAAAUAUGAACAGGAUAGUGAGCCAGAUCUUUCCAAUUAUGGUGGAGUGGAUGUGAACUUCCUCCAGGAUGCCUCCAAGGAAAUUCCAGUUCCCCAUGUUUAUUUAGUCAGCCAUCUUAGCUCUGAACCCCAUCAAAUAGGAGGCAGAUACAUUCUUCCAUUCUGAAGGGCAUGCUAUUUCCUAAAGCGAACCUAUGGCCAAAACAUGAACAAAGCAUCACU
Molecule: long non-coding RNA, 2849 nt
Filed under: Lynx pardinus (Iberian lynx)
Lineage: Eukaryota; Metazoa; Chordata; Mammalia; Carnivora; Felidae
Source: RNAcentral